CAGUCGAACGAUGAUGCCCAGCUUGCUGGGCGGAUUAGUGGCGAACGGGUGAGUAAUACGUGAGUAACCUGCCCUUGACUCUGGGAUAAGCCUGGGAAACUGGGUCUAAUACUGGAUACUACCUCUUGCCGCAUGGUGGGUGGUGGAAAGGGUUUUACUGGUUUUGGAUGGGCUCACGGCCUAUCAGCUUGUUGGUGGGGUAAUGGCUCACCAAGGCGACGACGGGUAGCCGGCCUGAGAGGGUGACCGGCCACACUGGGACUGAGACACGGCCCAGACUCCUACGGGAGGCAGCAGUGGGGAAUAUUGCACAAUGGGCGGAAGCCUGAUGCAGCGACGCCGCGUGAGGGAUGACGGCCUUCGGGUUGUAAACCUCUUUCAGUAGGGAAGAAGCGAGAGUGACGGUACCUGCAGAAGAAGCGCCGGCUAACUACGUGCCAGCAGCCGCGGUAAUACGUAGGGCGCAAGCGUUGUCCGGAAUUAUUGGGCGUAAAGAGCUCGUAGGCGGUUUGUCGCGUCUGCUGUGAAAGCCCGGGGCUCAACCCCGGGUCUGCAGUGGGUACGGGCAGACUAGAGUGCAGUAGGGGAGACUGGAAUUCCUGGUGUAGCGGUGAAAUGCGCAGAUAUCAGGAGGAACACCGAUGGCGAAGGCAGGUCUCUGGGCUGUUACUGACUCUG
RNAcentral lists this ribosomal RNA (678 nucleotides) under Kocuria sp. Its description in RNAcentral is "bacterial SSU rRNA". It matches the Rfam family "Bacterial small subunit ribosomal RNA", at positions 59 to 748 of the family's 1533-position model. The record is from RNAcentral. Lineage: Bacteria; Bacillati; Actinomycetota; Actinomycetes; Micrococcales; Micrococcaceae.